Clupea harengus (Atlantic herring) is the source of this 491-nucleotide long non-coding RNA. The record is from Ensembl. NCBI's taxonomy places the organism in Eukaryota, Metazoa, Chordata, Actinopteri, Clupeiformes, Clupeidae.
GAGGUUGUCUCUGGGUUCUUCCUUUCCUCUGUCUCUUUCUUCGAAUGUAUGGGACAGAGGAGCUGAGCGUCUUGCUAACUCUGUCCAACGGAUUUUAUGUUCGUCAUUUGCAUGUAUCAGGAAGCAGCAAUAAACGUGUGAACAUCAGGUCGGUGGCUGUGUCCUUCUUAAACAAACACAACGCAGAGUGAAACAGCGAGGGGAAGAUAACCUCCGUUACAGUGGUGCCGUGACCCGGAUCUCUGUUCAGCUGUGUGCCGAACACUGGGCUAGCUGCAUCGACAACGCCGACCUGAGACCAUCGACGACGCCGACGUGCGCUGCCACUGACGUUGCUGCUUUUAUAGCGUGCCUCACGCUUGAUGCACUUGCAUGCAUCACCGUGUAUCUUUUGAACUGUUACUGAGUGCAUUGCAAGGGUGAAUGCAUCUGUGGUCUCUGUUAGUGAGGCGGUGCAAAUGAACAAUUCAUAUGUUUGAAUCGUAACACUG